CUCCUGGCUUCCUCUGUGUCUGCUGGGCCGAUGAACUCACGCCAAGCUGGGACAACAUUGGCAGAACCUUCGGCCUGAGACAGCACCAGGAUGUGGGAGGGACCACUGGACAUGAACUGUACCAGCUCCUCAAAAGGCCCAGCCUGAAGACUUGACUUCCAGAUACUGCACAAGGAACAAGUUGCCAACAUCUCCUCCCACUGCUCUUGGUUCGUGACAGACACCUGGAGGAGGAAAUCACAGGAUAACGAAGAAAUGAAAACACAGCAAGCAGAGGAGUGAGUUGUCUCCUUCUCUGAUGGGGACCUCGACCUCCAAAACUCUGCCUGAUUUUGGUGGAUGGAUCCCCAGGAUGCUGAGUCACAUUAUUAGGUAUAUGUAUAAUAUACAGUGGUGUAGAACAUAUUUACAGUUUUUUUUUAGCUUUGACUUCUUAAAUCAUUCCACCCACUACUCUACACUAACAUGCAAACUGAGCAGUGAUUGACGUUAAGAAGCAGCACAUUUUUCUCACUUCCAUUUAAAUGCCCAUUUCAUUUACAUUCAUGCAGUCUGUGGUCAUAGCCAUGUGUCAUCUGUACAACGUUCACACUCACACGUUCCUUCUCAGUACUGUAAGUGUGGACGCCGCAGGGAGGAUUCGUCCAACUGUACCAUUACACCUUUACCCACCAAAGUGAUCAAACCACUUGUGAAUGUUCUUCCCCAAUCCAUAUCAAUGAGCUGCUGCUCUUCAGUGGUUUCAGCUCCAUAGCAACCACGCUCAGAGUGGGCCCUGAAAAGCAAGUUGCACAAUUAGAGCAAUUUCCAGGAGAGUCAUAUCACAGUCCUCUGUGACAGUAAGAGAGGAGAAAAUUAUAAUAUAAAAAUUUUUGAAAAAAAAAAACCCUUAGAGUGGAUUUUUGCCUUCCACAACAGCUUCACAUUUUGUUUUUCCUCACACAGCUGCAGAUACUGUAUAUUACAGUAUGUAACUAUUAAGAAAACCUGUGUUUCAUUGUGAGGUUUUUAUGCAGCCAGAUGGAAACAUUGUUUUCCCUUUGUCACGACUGCUGUGAUGAGGUCCUGACACGAACCUUUUAGCAGAGAAAUAACAUUCAUACUGUGAUUGCAGAACAUGUGGUGCUGCAAAUUGUGCUCAACAGUGAUUGCUUUUGUUCUGUCAACACAUACAGAAACUGGAUGGAUGCUUUGGGCACAGGUAGGCAAUUCUUUAACGCAUAACUGAACAUAAUUAAAGUAAUGACAUCCAGAUGUAGGUAUUUCUCCAUCAUUAAAUUCCUCAUUUGCAUUUGCAUUUUUUUGCAGUCAAAGAUGGAGUUGAUCAAAAUACUUUGAAUAACAUGUCAGUUUUACACACGGUGUGAGAAAUCAGUUUCUUCAACCAAGUUUCUUCAGGUUUUUUUGUGUGAAACCUUUUUUAUGAAAAAAGGUUUUUGGGGUAGCUCCUCCCCCUACUAUAAUUGUAAAGUCUGAUCAACUCAUCAGAGGUACCAUCUGUCUCAGAUCCAGAUCAUCUUCAUAUUUUACUGUCAAAGUUCUGUUUCAUAAUCAUCACAAAAUCAAAACGAGUAAAUGAUUUACCUUCACUGAGGCUAGGUUGAUUUUAAAGCCAGGGUCAGACACUGGCACGAGGGUUAAUGUCUUCUAUGUUCUCAGCAGGUCGUCAGUCCUUCAGUCCUCACGUCAGACUUCUUCCUCUUCCCUGGUGAGUCACCGUUAAUCUCACUUCCAUCAGGGAGGCACAGAGGAUUUGGAUCCUGACGGAGUUGAAGAUUAAUCUUCAUUAGUGCAUCUUAAGCACAAAAGUCAUAUUUAAGCCCCAUUAAUGUCGACAUUUGUUGUGUUUAAUUUUGAAUAAACACAUUUUUGAAAUCGUAAGAUCGUGCAGGCCCAAAGGAUUUCAAUCUAAUUAUCCACAAACUAACAGAGAGAGAGAGAACACAGUGUGCAUCUGAUAUACCCUGUCUUCAAGGAACAGAAAAUGUUCCCUGUUUAACAAGGGGGCGCUGUUGCCUCAUCAGUAACACACACACUGCUCUGAGGUUUUUUAGGGCAGGAAAGCCCUGUGCUCUCAAUAUGCUGGUAUUUUUUAUCAGCUGCUCCAGGCCUUAAACUUAUCAUGUUAGCUAUAUAACAAUUGAAUAUAGAAUAGCCUCAUUUUUUGUGGGUAUUUUUGUAAAAAAAAACAGUCAGGGUUUUUAUAGGUGAGUGCGAAUGCUAUUCCAUCUGGUUUCUACUCCAGGCUGUGUUUAGAACGACUGCUGUGCUGCUUUUUCUGAUACAGUGCUGGAUGAAAUGGUAAUCCUCCCCCUGCCCCCCGAGCCUUUAAGACAAACCUGACCCUGUAUGUUCACACAUCAGUCCAGAGGAGAAAUGGUUUGUUCCAUAUUUGCUGUGACAAUGACUAUUUUAUACAGUCAGUGUCAUUUAUCUGCAGCCCUGUGACUGUCAGUCCGUAUGAAGCUUUCUUCUCAUGUCAGACUGGCAGCUGUAAUGGUGACAGAGGAAGCCAGCACUGACAGAGUCAUCUGCAUCUAAAUAAAGACCGCCAGUGGCUUUGUCACAGUCCAUUAGGCAAAUUUCCGUAUUUGAUAAAAGCAUCAACCAUGUUUUUUUUUUUUAACCAUCCAUUUGAUAUGAAAUCACCAUGAAGCAAAUGUAGUUUGGCUUUUGUUUGCUUUCCAAAACAUGCAGUGAGCCAUGAAUGAAAAAAGAAAAUCCACUAAGAUAUCAUUUUGAUGCUUAUUGUGAUUGAUUAGUGGCAUUUUUGGUGCAACACAUGGGUUAAUUCACAUCAGGUGCACCAAGAAAGAAAAUCACACUGGGCUGAAAAUGAGGUUGAAAAUGUGUAAUUUCUUAUGCUUGUUGCAGCAGACUGCUUGAAUAAUGAAGUGUUUUUUUUUUUUUUUCAAGUCUGUGUUUUUCUGCUGUCAAUUCCAGCUCCAGAGAGUUGUCUUUUUAGUUGUUUUAAAACUCUGGCAUGAAGAUUGGAGAAAAACACCCGUCACCUUCUGAGACCCUUACAGAUUACACAAUGAUGAGAAAAAGGGCAGGACAAGGAAGUGGGUCAAGGAAGGAGCAGUGGAGUACUGAUAGGGUCAACGAUCUUGAUGUCAGUGAGAGAGCGGACCACAGAAUCAGGCUGAGAGGUCAAGUAACUCACAGUAUGUGAUAGGAUGUGUACAGGAUCAAAGAAGUGUCCUCAAUAACUGGCGUUCCACUUACUGGACUGUUCUGACUCCUUGGCUUCUGUACAGUUGUGAUUGCGAUGCCACUGACAUGAGAAAGAUGGAGGCCGACCCACACGGUGGAGGAAAUGCAGAGAACCUGGACCUCGACCUGGUGAUCGACCUUGGCCCAAGGCAGGUCGGGAACAUUACGACUGACGGGAAGUGCGGAGUGCUGUGAUGAGAGGUGAUAUUUCUCUGUGGAAACAUGAGAUGAUAAGGACGUUCUGCUGAUGAUCUAAACCAUUGUUUCCCAAAGACUGGGUCGCAACCCUCAGUGUAGCAGGAGACGCUGGAGUGAAACCCUGCAGCCACCGUGGAGCAGAAACAGAGAACACCCUGCAGAGGUCGCCAGCCACAUCAGAACAACCAUUCACACUCAUACAGAGGUCUUGAUGUAAACUUGGAAUCUGUUCAGCGAAAAGCAGGCGAUAGUGAGAGGAUGACGAGCUACAGACGAUGGAAGAAACCUUAGCCCAGAGCAGGAAGUGUGCUCUGCUGGUGUUGGUGUUACCCCCCCUCCCGCCUCCUGCUAGGCUCCUUCAUGGUCCAGAUGAGGCCUAGGUGGCAGCCCUAGGCUCCAUCCAUCAUGACUUAUCAGCAGCUGCUGUCUGGAGGUCGACUUUGACAUUUUCUCCUCUUCAGCAUAGGUCAACCACAGAAGACGGUUACUCUUCUACAAUGGUGAUGGACAGAAGAAGGGGGACAGGAGGUAAACAGACGGACCACUGACAACUGUGUCACCAUCACCGAACGUUUGGCUCCGGAUUUGACCUCCGUCCUUUCACUGUCACUCCUAUGCCACUCACCCUGCAGCCUCGUCGGUCCCUUUGGUGUAAGAUUGACACAGCCAGGACGAGUUUCUAAAAAAAACAAGCCUCUAAAAUAUGCUUAUAUGAUUAAGAUCCCUGAUCAUUUCUCAAUUCUCUGCCACCUCUCAGUAAAAGCCCUGUGAAGAGGAGAGAACUAGUCAGCACUUCAUGGCCCAUCUGUCAUUUUCAGUCUCCCAUCAGUAGUCAACCCUGUGGACUAACAGAGAUUAUACUGAGGCCAUGACACAUGGAUUUCUCUGACACGUACUGCCUUGACCAACAAAGAGCUGGAAGAAAAGUCGAAGGGCAGAGGCUCCUACGGUAACGCAGCCUCAUGAAUGCCAAUGAAGUGCCAUGAAACAGCAGGAGGAAAACAAACAAACAAACAAGACGGUGUUGAUGUUUAAAGCAAACAAUAUGAAAGUUUCAAAAGGCUUUGUUGCACGUCUCUGUCAUCCCCUCCUCUCUGAAGUGUAACCCAGUGAAAGAAACUCCAAGGCUGAAAUGAAAUCCACGGCAGCAGCUGGGAAACGUGCUGGUAAUUUACACAUUCAUCUAUUUUGAGCCCUGGCACCGUUUGCAGGAGUGUGAUGAAGCCCACUGCAAGUUAGUAGGUCAGUAGUUGAACACUGAUGAGAUGCUGCUGCCUGUUUGUUUUCACACCAUCCCUGAAAAUUAAAACAUCACGUAGAGGUAAAAAGCAGCUACAGGAGGAUUAUGGUAUAAAAACGAAACGUGUCAUCAAGAACUUUUAGCAUGAAGGGGUGUAAAAAAAAUCUAAUAAUUUAAAGGGCACAUAACUUGCAAAAUUGACUUUAUCAGGGUUGUGGCACAGAUAUUUGGGUCUAUGGAGGUUCAACCCAUGUGUCAAACUCAAGUCCCGCAGACCAAAUGUGACCCACGAAUCAACCUGUGUGGCCUGCGGGAGAUUAAAAAGCGUUUAAUUGCCUUAUAAUAAAGUCUGUGCUCCUUCAGAGCUUAUAUUGAACAUAAAUCACAACUACAACAAUGCAUUUCAUGAUGAUAAGAAAUCUAUGAGCAGAGAUGUGUGUUUAAGGACAGGCAGCAUCACCUCCUCAACUUUACCCAAACCCAACAGUUAUGAAUGGAGAAAUCGGUGUUUGUUUUGUGAUUUUUGUAAUUUCCCUGAAGUUUGAAGGUUUGAUUUGAAUGUUUGAAUAUUUGUUACCUAUGAAGGUAGAGUCUACCUCUCUGCAAUCUUUUAAAUAAUGUAUUACUCGCCUUUCCCAAUUAUAGAGGAUAGAUCUGAGAUAUUAACUGGACUUAAGAAAACAUUGACAAUAAAAUAAGAAAAAACCAUCAUAUCAUUGAAACAAAAUGUCAUACCUGUGAAAACAAUCACAGGAAAAAUGAAAAAUUGUAAAAAAAAAGAAGAUCCAAU
Long non-coding RNA from Cynoglossus semilaevis (tongue sole), 5444 nucleotides. RefSeq lists it as uncharacterized. NCBI's taxonomy places the organism in Eukaryota, Metazoa, Chordata, Actinopteri, Pleuronectiformes, Cynoglossidae. The record is from RefSeq and is a predicted model, not a curated record. The transcript is spliced from 11 exons.